UUUAGUUUUCAGAGAGCUUAGGUGAGAAAAUCCUAUUCCUAGCCAUGAGUUCCUUCAAUCAAGCAGAGCCAACCCAAAAUGCCUCGAUGGCCAAGCUACCACCGCCGGCCAUGGUUAACAACAAAAACCCAGCCACUGUCCAAAUCACUGCUGAGCAAAUUCUCAGUGAGGCACGUGAGCUCCAGCUUCUCCAUAAUGAAUUAGUGGAGGGUGCUAGGGCGAUUUACGAGCAAUCUGUACAAUGUCAACCAAAUCAAAUUCAGGCUUGGAUUCGAUAUGCCAAGUUUGAGACUAGUAAUGGUGAUGUUGCGAGGGCAAGGGAGGUGUAUGAGAGGGCAGUGGAGAAGGUAGAACUAGCAGAUUUUAAUGAGGCAGCAGAGCAGUUGCUGGUGGCUUUCGCCGAAUUCGAAGAGCACUGCGAAGAAAUCUUGCGUGCAAUGUGUAUCUACAAGUUCGCUCUUGAUCAUAUACCAAAAGGACAGGGCAUGGAUUUAUAUAGCAAGUUUGUACUUUUUAGGAAGCGUCAUGGGGUCAGACUAGGGAUUGAAGAUGCCCUUGAGAGAGAGAUGAUGUCUCUGGAGAUCAAGAUAAUAUUAGCUGCCUACAGGUGGAAGAAGGAACAAGUUUCUUCUCACGAUAUUGGAAGCGGCCUACAGGAG
This 659-nucleotide long non-coding RNA is filed under the name Prunus dulcis (almond). Its description in RNAcentral is "sRNA ncRNA". The record is from RNAcentral. Lineage: Eukaryota; Viridiplantae; Streptophyta; Magnoliopsida; Rosales; Rosaceae.